Molecule: long non-coding RNA, 1559 nt
Organism: Solanum pennellii
Lineage: Eukaryota; Viridiplantae; Streptophyta; Magnoliopsida; Solanales; Solanaceae
Exons: 4
Source: RefSeq, a predicted model, not a curated record
UUUUAAGGAAAUUCUUCAAGAUUUUCAUGCAAAGUAUAGGGUGAUCUAUUUUAAGUGAUGUCUUUUGGGUUCACAAAUUCCCGGAAUGCGUUUAUGUACCUAAUGAAUUGAGUUUUCAUAAAUUACUUUGACUCAUUUGUGAUUGUUUUCAUUGAUGAUAUUUUAAUACACUCCAAUAAUUAAAAUGAUCAUGAGAAUCACUUUAGGUAAUUCCUCAAAGAACGCCCACUUUAUAACAAAUUUAGCAACUGUGAAUUUUGGUUAAGGUCGGUUUUUUUAUUGUUCAUAUUAUCUCUGGUGAUGGUAUCAAGGUUGAUCUGAAGAAGACGAAUGCGGUCAAAAAUUGUCCUAGACCUUUGAUUACCACUAACAUGAGGAGUUUCUUGAAUCUAACCGGGUAUUAUAGAAGGUUUGUUGAUGGAUUUUUGUCCAUUGCUUCUCUUUUGACAACUUUGACCCAAAAGAAGGCGAAGUUUGAGUGGUUGAAAGCUUGUGAAAAAGUAUUUCAAGAGUUUAAAGAUAAGCUUACCUCCGCUCCGGUGUUGACCUUACAAGAGGGUAAUGAAGGCUUUGUAGUGUAUUGUGAUGCUUCUUGAGUAGGCUUGGACUGUGUCCUCAUGCAGCAUGGAAAGGAAUCUGCAAUUUUUGGGUCUUCUUGUUCUUGAGUUCUACGUUUAUGCAGAUACAGUGCAGAAACUACAAAUUGGUCAUCAAGCUCAUCUCACUGCUCAAAAAAAUGGAACAUAUGAUCGUAAUUGAAAAUCAUAGUAGUGCAAAUGCAUGGAUUAGAGCACAGAAUCAUAGUAAGGAGUUUGUCAACUAGUUUAUGAAGAAAGUUAAAUUUGUUGAAGUGCCUGAACAUUUACAGAAACUUUAUAAAGGGCCUAUUCUGCGGCAAAAAGGAAUACAACAUAUGUCAUCAAUGGAUAUCGAUUUCAUAAAAUGAAACGAGAUAGUCAAGGUAAUAUUCAACACUAUGGAGUGCCUUUAUCAACAACUACUGAUAGUUUUGCUACUGCUAGAGACCAAAACUCCACUGAUGGAGAGGUUUUAUAUUAUGGAGUUAUUCAAUAAGUUAUGCAGUACUGAAGAUCCAUUUGUACUAGCAUCUCAAAUGCAUCAAGUUUUCUAUGUGGAGGAUAUAAUUAAGAAAGGUGUUUAUUAUGCAAGGACUAAAGUCAAUGUUGAUUUAUUUGCUUUAGACGAAGAUCAGAAUCGCCCGUUAUAUUGGAGACACAUUUUUUGGGGAGCAUGAAAAUUACAUUGGAACAUCAAAUGGAAUAUCUUGUGUUGAUGUUGAUCUUAGAUGCUCGAGAGAAUAUGUAACUGGUGAUGUCACGGAUAUGCCAACUCAUGAUCAACAUUCAGAAUACAUGGAAGAAGAUCAUAUGGAAACAUCAAAAUAAGAUGAGGACUUUGAUGAUGUCGAUUGGGAUUGGAUGGUGGCUGAUGAUUGACGAAGGAAUUUUUGAAAUUCUUUUAAUAUAUUUCUAUUGCAUUUUCUUAUAUGUACUAUUGGUUUGAAAGUCUAUUGAAUGAAUGUCGAUUUGCCAGUUUUA